Trachemys scripta elegans is the source of this 2026-nucleotide long non-coding RNA. RefSeq lists it as uncharacterized. The transcript is spliced from 3 exons. Lineage: Eukaryota; Metazoa; Chordata; Testudines; Emydidae. The record is from RefSeq and is a predicted model, not a curated record.
GAUGGCAUGGAUGGGGAAUGGGAGCAGAGGCUAUAGGAGACAAUGGCAUGACUAGGCUGGGGGCUGUAUAGAUCACUGUGUUAAUUUAAAAAAAACUUUCAAUAAAUUGAUUGGGCUAGUGUUUUGGGCUACAUUUUAAGUGCCUUUGGGCUAUUGAUACAGUAGAAAUCUGGUCACCAAUAAUCAUGCUGGUUUUCUUGAAAAGCAGAGGUAACAGCACUCAUUGAUAAAUCUGUGAAAAAUACAUGGCGUUGGCAGUAGUGUGAAGAGAUUCUUUAAAUAAGCUGUAUGGACAGUGGGUACGGAAAACUGCCGUUCCUGAACAGGGUUUUUGUAUUGAUUGUAACCAGUGUCUGAAUGCACUUCUUUAGUGUGACAUCACAUUUGCAGUGAUUAUAUGCAUGUUUGUUUUGUAUUUUUAGUGUACAUGUGCAACUGUUAUAUGAUAAAAAAAAAAUGUUGCCUCACUAUGCUCCACAACUUACAUUUUCAGUCUUAGUUACUUUGCAGUGCUCCCACCUGUCUCUCCCUGGAUUUGGUUUGUAAAAUAUGGUCACCUUACCUUAAAGGUAUCCAGGUAUGGACACUAUACUUCUCACCAGUACCAAAAUGAUUUAAUACAUCUCCUGUAGAAGUCUUUAGAGAAAACAUUUUGAAGAGGUCAGACAAGCCGAGUAUUUUCUGUCUUUGCUGAUGAAACUAAAGAUGCAUUAAAAAAAAAAAACAGCUGUGUCUCCUUUUACACAGCCAUUGAAAAGGAAUCAUUCAGGAAAGAACUCUGGGCUGCUCCCACAUGGAUUCAGCAUUUAGAUUUUCCAUUUCAAAAAUGAUUGUUGAAGAACUACAGCAUUUGAAGCUUGAUAUUAAGUAUGAUGGAGCAUCUGUGCGUAACGAGAUUUUUGCUUUCAAGGUUCUGAAAUACCUUGCAGCACCUUAAUAAAGGCUUGCAGAAAAACCCCAGAGGGGUUUAAAAACACCAUAAAAUUCACUUUUCCCAAUUGACAUAUGUGACGGGGCAACUCUGCCCCGCACUAGCCCUGGAAGUGACAGACAGGUAGCUCUGUCAGCGGAAGUCUCGCCCCAGCCAUACUGGGCAUGCUCCAAAUGCUCCGUGAGUAUAAAAGGAGGGAACUCAGCUCAGUCUGGGGUGGCAGCCGAAGGAGAAGGACCUAACCAGGCAGCUCCUACAGAGGAACAGCUGACGCUCUCAGAGCCGCUCGGAGCAGGGGCUUCUUCUGACCGGCACGAACCCCUACCGGGGGAGGAACCAGAGGAGGCGACGGCCCCGGAGACCCGCGGAGGACCUUGGGAUUCGUGGGCGACCCCAACUCCCAAACCGAGUUUGAUUCACAACAGACCCCAGGAAUAGAGGAGAACCAUAGACAAAAAGGCUUGAAGAUGGUGCAGACCUGAGGGCCAUAGCACUGAUCCCACAGAAAAGGCAACACUGAUAGACUGCUGACAAUAGCCACCACCCUUCGACUUCUGGAGGCACAUAGCCACACAACUGGAGAGGUCUAUGGAAUGAGAAGACUAGAUGUGUUCCAAGGAUUUCCCACCAAUGGUGGAGAUUCUACAAAGAUUCAACGCAUUGCAUACCAGCAGCAGGAAUCAGAUAAAGUUCAAGCACAGAAGACUAGGACAAUGAAGUGGAGGACCUUUUCUUGGAGUACUCUAUGAAUAGCGCCUACAGGGACCCUAUUGGUGAAUGAGCACAUUUUUUCCUCUCUUUUUCUGAUUUAAAAUGUGAACCUGUAUCUUUAUAUGAGGCAACUAAAGUAAAAACCAGCAAUGCCACCAAAAUGCCCACAUUUGUAACUAUUGCUUUGGUAUUUUACAGAGUUUGGUGCACAACAUGUGUAUACAGCAACAAGGUACCAGAUGGUGCAGGCUAAGCUGAGGGACUUGGGCUGAAGCCACAGGAAGAACAACACUGACAGCCUGCCUCUGGGACUACACUGGUGGUCAGGGCUGGAUUACCUAACAGGCAGACUAAGCAUGUGCUUAGGGCACCAGCAAAGCAGGG